Long non-coding RNA from Falco peregrinus (peregrine falcon), 10177 nucleotides. RefSeq lists it as uncharacterized. The record is from RefSeq and is a predicted model, not a curated record. NCBI's taxonomy places the organism in Eukaryota, Metazoa, Chordata, Aves, Falconiformes, Falconidae. The transcript is spliced from 9 exons.
UUUCUAUCCUUCCUCCUUGAGGAACGUAGUCCUUCCUGACAGUGAAACCAGAUCACCCUGCAUCCUCGGAGGAGGUAGUUCUGUUUGUCUCGGGUGUAGAAAAAAGUGUUAUUUUCUUAUAGGUGUGCUGCUCUUUGGGUAGUGAGGGAAAUCACCCUCUCGAGGUGAAAGGAACAUGAAGGUUUGCUUAAAUGUUUUGAGAGCAUUUGAGAGAAGGUGACAUUUGAAACACCAUGUGUUGUUAUUAAAUCUUAUGGCUCAGAACUAUUAUUGGGCCAUAUCCUAGAGGUUUUACUCAAAACUAUGUUUUUAAACACCGAUGUCUGGAAGUUAAAUUAAAGCAUAUUGACGUCAAACACCUUAGGUAUUUGCUUUGCCCUUCAGAAUUGCUGAACUCCUUGCAGGGCAGGUCCCCUGGAGACUUUAAAAAGGCAAAAAAUUCACUUUGGAGCUUUCAACCACUUGUUACAAGGUCUGGCCUAUUGUAAUUGUAUUUGGGGUUUACCUGCUGUUUUUUCCAAAUGGUUAAUUUGAUCACAAACAGUUCUUAGCUGUAAGCAGUAGCUUGAGUUCAAGAGCAGAACUUGAUACUGGGUUUAUUCAUACAAAUCCACACAGCCAAUAACCUCUUCCUCUGAGGUAAACAGAUAAUCAGUAAGGUUAAAUGCUAACAAAAAUUAUUAUGAACCCAUAUAUGAAUGCAAUGAUUUUUUUCCAGUACUUACUGGUAACUUGCCUGGGAAAUGGGUCUUAGUUUGGCUCUCAUGGUUGAUUCCAAGCAUCCUCUUACCAAUACCCCUGAGACGCUGGUUAAUUUUGUGGCACAAAAUAUUUAAUUAUGUGCUCUGCCAAGUGAAUACAAGGUCUCAAAUUGAAUAUCAGCAUCCCUGGGCAACUAUUUUAGACACUUUGGUAGAAUGUAAAUGCAUAUUUUCUGCAUGCCAGAUCCUGGACCCAUAUCCAUCAAAGUAGAUCUCCAGUAGUUCCAUUGAAGGCUUGGAACAAUCUUAAAUUACGUUAUUGAGGUCAGAUUGUGACCCUGAAGCUCUGGCAGAGACCCAAACCAAGAAAUUUGUGUGGGAAAUUGGGGAGGGAAUAAAUUAGCACUUGCCUAUGCUUUUUGUGGGACUAAACUGUUACAAAGGUGUGAGCUAAAAUGAAAGUUCCUAAGCAUGGUGGAUAAUGCUUUCCAGCCGUUUCUGCUGGAAAUAGCUUUCUGUGUGUUUAUGGGAUGGGUCCUUACUUUCUGGUGGUGCUCUGUCUCAAAUAACAACCAAUUUUACUUCCCCGACUGUCCCUGUCCCCCUAACUCCCUCCAAAGAAAAAAAUGUUUAAUCCUGUAAAAAGAAAAGUGCAGGGCUAGGUUCUAGUUUGCGGGGGUUUUACUCUGGUGAAUAUAAACCUUCAUUUUCUCUCUCUGCCAACCAGAAGUGGUAGGUCUAAAUAGUAUUAAGUAAUUGUGGUUGUCAUACUGCACAUUGUACUGUGGAAAAAAUUAAUUGCUGGUUUUUUCGCCCAAGGGUUUAAGCAGCGGUCCCUUCAUCUGACCGGGAGCAUGUCGUUUUUCUCCCGACUGAGGCUGCGUACCAUCAAGCAGCAGGAAAGGAUUCCUGUACAGCUGCACUGGCCUGUGUAGCAUUUGGCAAUUGACCUGACGUGGAACAAAAUCCUGCCAUUUCUUCCUUCCCAAAUGAUCCUGUGCCCUAGAUGGAAGACAAAUGAAUCUGCUCCAUCUUCAAAUGCUGGUGCUAGAGAAGAGCCCUUGCCUGAAAUCUUACUCUGCCUGUUGUGAAGAACUUUGAUUCAAAUUUCUCCCGAGAAUCUGGUUGUCUCACCAGGAGCAAAACCCGAGGGAAAACUGCUUUGCUUCAUUUUUGAGGAUUCCGGUUUGACUGGCCAAAGUGACAUGAUCAGUUGCCUGCAUUAUAUUUUCUACCCAUCGGCAACAGGAGAAGCUAUUGCAUGGUUCAUCUUUGGUACUCGGACCCUGCAGCCAAAUUCUUGGCUGAGGGUUAUUUUAACUGCGUCAUCUCCCUUAUUGUGAUGGGAAGGUGAGACAGCAAAGGGUAGGAUGAAAAAAAGUACAUGGAGCCAUUUUUUGCUGUGAGAAGAAAGGCACAGCCUGCUGGGUGUAUGGUGAGACGUUUCCUCUUGUCCCAAGGGAAUGGUUGUAGUACCUUCAAUGUACGUAUUUGUCAGAAGCUGUGCUGAGUAUCUGGUAUGAGUAUGGUGUCAAAGUUUUAUUGCUGUAUAUUUAUAGUACAAAUUGCCACAAAUACACAUGAAAUUCUUUAAAUGCACAUUGAGCUACACACAGCAUGCAUUCUUUACCUAUUUGGCUAAGAGGCAGACAUCCGUUUGUGUCUGCUGCUGCCAAGUGACUGCUCACUGGAAGCUACACGUCCUCCCUCAGGCCCCCCAGGAGCUGCUAUUCACACCUGGCUGUCCUACUGCCAAAAUAACCCUUUCAUCUCAGUUAUCAUUUUUCAGAGAAAAGAGAUAGGAAAGUUUUAUUUGAUGUUCCGGGCCCUCACACUCACAGGCACCAAGAUUUUCGUCUGUUCUGUUUCAUAAAGAUAUUCUUCAGCUCUACAACCUGCUUGGCUGAUAGCAGAGCUCUCGUUGUAUUAGUACAAGUGAUGCCUGGAUUCAUUUAACCAGAAGAAUGUGUUCAGUGCACACAGUUUUCAUAUAUAAUCCCUGUAACUUUCUUUUAGUCAGAAAUCUAUGUGUUAAGCUGCUUUUAGAAUGAUUAAAAAAGACGUUUAUUUUCGACAGGUGGUCAAUAGUUUGUCUUUGAAUAAAACCAAAAUGCCUAUGCAAGACAGCAGUGAUGGAAACUUGCACUUUGUCCUCAUUUCUAGGCUUUAGCCUUUCACGGUGCAUUUGUCCAUUAUGCAAAGCGGAUAUAAGUCCUGGUUUUCAUCUGACAUCCAGUGGGCUACAAAAUUCCUUUCGGACUCAUGAAAUGUCCUUGCUAGUCUUUUAAUUAAUUUAAACACUUUUAACAACUGUAAGCUGGUUGUUCCAGCUGUAUUACUGCUGUCCUAGGAGUUACUAGGUGAGAUAAUCCUGUGUUGAAGUGAACAGUUUUUAGGCAGAGGGGGUUUUUAUGCUCAGUUUUCGGGUUUGGGACUUCUUGUUCUCAGAGGAAUGCUAAAUAAGCACAAGUCAGCAAUAUGAUGCUGCUUAAAUAGAAAAGGCGUGUAGUGUACUGGGAUGGUAUUAACAGGAAUAUUGUGUGCAAGCAAGACCUGGGAGGUAACGAAGCUGCUCCACCUGAACUGAUGAGGUUUUGGCUGGCACUCUGCCUCUGAUUUAGGGUACCCCAUUUUGACAGGUGCAGAUAGUUUGGAGCAUGUCCAGAAAAGGACAGCACCAACAGCAAGAAAGUGUGAAGAACAAAGCAGCCCAAAGGCAGACGUAGAAAUCAGGACUGAAUGCGUUGUUGCGCGUAGAGAGAAAAGGAAAAUGAGAGAGGUUUCAAAGGCUUGAGAGGUUGAUGCAGUGAUAACUGCAAUGGGAAAGUUCUCUGCAUCCAUCGCAGGUAGGACCAAGGGCGAUUGGCUCAGUUUUCCUCAAGAGAAACGUAGCUUUAUACUGGGAAAUAUGUAGCACAGACAAGCAGGGAAGUGACCACCUAGGGGAGCUGGGCAAGCCCUUCCCAGGAGAAGCUAGACAAGAAGUUGACUGUGAUUCUGCCAAGUGCCCUCUGGGCAUCUCUGACCCAGCCUCAGCUUUCCUCUGAACCAGCUGCCAAGGGCCGUGCAGACUCCAGAGCUGGGGCAAGCACGUGUGUCCAGAAGCAGAGGGUGAAAGCAUGCAGAAACGGGGGCUUCCCUCUUGUGACGGGAGCAAGCUAUCGUGACUAAGACCACCAGCGUCUCCACGUGUUUAGCCAACUUCUCUUUCUCAGUUCAUACAUCUCUGUGCUGCCUUACAAUAUGUGAAUCCCUCAGGAAAGGGGAAGAGGGGAGAAAAGCGGAGCUCUGCACCUCAUUUACGAUUUCUCAUUUGCCUCACAGGAGUGAGCAGCACUGCACGGGAUGAUGAUGAUGCGGACAGCGUGAUAGGGUCACAGGGAGCAACAAGCUGGGGGUGGCGGGGGGAACUCACGGCUCUAACACACACAGUGGCACUGCAGACGGGAAGCAAACUGGUAGUGGUUGUGAAAGACAGUUGGGAGCUCUUCCCUUUAUGCCGUGUUGAUUUAGAAAAUACCGAUUUGCUUAACUAGUCAUUUUUUUGGUGGGCUUUUCCACUUAUGGCAGAGUUUGAGAAAAUAUUCAGGGGCCCAUAAAUCAAAGGAGGUUUGAAAGUUAUGGAAAAAUCUGGAAAAACUGGCUGCUUUUAGAAAGAACCAAAAGUUUAGUGGAAGGGGUAGGUUCAAAUUUCUGCUCUGCCUGGUUUACAGAGGCUUGAAGCUAAGCUUCCCACCACCUGGAGGGGUGCUUCCACCUCCAAGAGCAGCGAAAGCAAUCAGGCAUGGAUUUUUGUGAACAGUUUUGUGAACAGUUUUUUAAAGGUCUUGGAUCUAUCUUGAUUUGGAGGAAGGGAAAAAAAAUAAAAGAAAGAAAUUCAUUGUGGCAUAGGAAGGCUCCCUUCUUCCCCAGUCCAAUGGUGACACUGGUACAUGACUAAAGUGUGUGCUGUACACAUGAUCAUAUCUUUUAAAAAUAUUUCGCUAUCUAUUAAUCCAAUUUUAUUUAUUAAUAGAUGGUUAGCUUAUUCCUAGUUAGAAGGAAUCACUGUAUAAAUUAACUAGACGUUGGGCCAUUUAAACUUGCCAUACAGUUGCCUUCUUGAGACAGAUUUGUACAACAGUUCUCAGCUGCUUCAUGCACCCCCAGGAUGAAAUUUGUUUGGUUUAGCAUUUUUACUUUGUGGAUAUAAAGCUUUUUUUUUUUUUUUUUCUCCUCCCACCUCCCCCUUUCCUUCUUAUGUACACAUACACCCCCAGGCCAAAUCUGUGGAAAAAUCUUCCCUUGCACUUCUGCUGUCCCAAGAGUCUGCUGGUGACUUCAUGUAUUUCUGCUGAGCCCAGUUUGUCCAUUAACGGUAAAAUCAUGGUGGAAUUUCUACCGAAUAACCGAGCAUGUUUACAAAAGCAGAUGCAUAUUUAUACAGCAGACACCAGAGGAAUGUGUGGUGCAAAGCCUGCCCUUUGCCUAUGACAUGCAGUUGGCUUUCCAAAUGAUUUCCCUCUCACAGCUGAUAGACGUUGACUUUGGCAGCAUCGUUAGUGAUAGACCAUAUAUCAUGGUUAAUCAUAUCUGCUGAAAGGCUUUAAAGACUUCUCGUAUCUUUCUCAAUAAAAAAGAUGUAUUUUCUCAUUCAAGUUAUUUUUACCAUAGGUCUCUAGUGCGUGCUCGUUAAAUAUACUUUCAACCCUAUUUAGCUGUGCUUUAUAUCCUUAAACUGACAUAUGUUUGAAGAGUGAAGUGUUUGUAUGGGGCCAAAUUAAAAUACGAAAUUUUGCCUUUUGCUUUAAAGAAAACUUAAUAAUUAAGCUCAGAUUGACACAGAUCAAAACAUUGGCAAAAAUUGCUGGAAACAGUGACUCAUUUUUUAUUUCAAUUAACAGUUUCUCAGUUUCACAUAUAAACAGUGAAACUGUCAAAAAUAAUUAUCACAGGGAGGAAAAACCUAUUUCACUCCAAGGUAAGGAAAACAGGCUAAAACAAUAGCUGAGAGUACAGACCAGGCUAUCAGUGAACCGAACUGAAUCAGACAGGUUUUUUCUUCUCUUGCCAGGAAUCCUGUUAAAUACUUAUUCUUACAUUCUUUUAAAUAUUAACAUAUUUACUUGUGUAGUAGCCUCUGUUUGUUGAAGAAAGCUUUCAACUUACAGAUUUUUUAAGGACAGAAGUAUUUGAAAUGCCUUUUUGAAAAAAAUUUGUACAGUGGAAAGAAGUUAUGAGACUUUCAAAAUUAUCAGAGACAUUUUGUUAACGAAUUGCACUUAUAAUCUGAAGUCUGACUCCAAACAUUUGAUUUAAAAAUCCUCUGUGGCUCCUUUUGGCACUUAUUAUGAUUUUUAACUUUAGUUUGGUUUCUUUGCUUUUUUUCUUGACGAACUCAGGUAAAUUUGAACUAGUUAUAAAACUGCAAAAUUGUUUUUGUUGCUCAUAAACUCUGGCGUAUGAAUACAGGGGGAACAAAGUUUCUUAAAUGUAUGCUGAACUUUAUCUGAAAUUUUGGCAUGUUAACUCAUCUCCUGCGGAGAAGGAUGAAAUUAUGACAUUCUCCUGCUUCUUUUUGUUUCCUACCCUACGUUGUAUGUUUCCCAGGAUACGUUUCAGGUUCAUGAGUUUAAACUGAGAUAAAUAGUCCUCUCCGGAUAUUACUUCCACAGUUUAGUAAGACCAUAAGGAAUUUUUACUUCCCGUAUUUUGAGUAAUUUGUCUGUUUAUUCAAAGUUUCAUCCUCGUUUUGCUAUUGAGAAUAUAAGUAAAAGCAACUUUCCUGGGGCUGAGGAGACAGGGUUGGGUAGAGUCUGUGUUCAGCUGCAGGCUCCAGCCUAGGCUGAGUUUUAAGCCCAUGAAUAAUCUCCCCAGAGCUGCUGAGAUCACUCGUCUGCCUAACGCGUGUGUCGCAGUUUGACCCUGUUUGACUCCAGAGUGAAGGAAAUGAUGCCUCAGUUGACCAUAGCUGUUUGUUUCUAAUUCGUCUGCAUUUACAUAUCCUCUGUGUCUGCUUUCCAUUAACAUGUGAGACUUCAGCAGGGGAUUGUUCACAAACAGUUACCACUGGCCAAACUAAACUCCACUGGGCACAGUUGGACACCAUCGGGUGCUUUUGAAAAACUGCCCGUGUUUCUCCUUUCAGACAAAUUCCCCACAGAGCUUGUGUGCUGGCAGCCACUUGUGGCCAAUACUCAUGCUUGUAUCUUCUCCAUCAGUAGGUUACUGCAAAGAAAAAGUAAAAACGCACUUCGGUGCUGUCUUAUGAGGCUCGCAAAGCCCACGUUCAUCAGUUGACCCUUGAGGUAUUCACUCAGUUAUUCAGCUCAUUGUUGGGAAACGUCCUCUUGUCUAUGGAAAUUUCCUUGGGUUGGAUGCUUUCAUAAACGAUUACAGCCUGUGUUAUCUGAGCAUAAUAAAACUGAAUGGCUUCCUGUCACCAUAACCUCUAUUUAGUUUUAUACUCCUCUGUAUAAUUUUCUGGAUCUCUGUACGCUCUCUCCUUUCAUGGCUUCAUUUUGGAACAAGUUCCCUCUUUUGAUUUAUUUUGCUAUGAUACUGCCUUCAUUCAAACGCCUUCUUUAAAAUUUCCUUUUGUAAUCUGUCCUUACACAUUUUUCUUCCUCUCUUAAUUUUUAUUUUUCAGGGUGGGCGGAGCUUAAGCAUUAUUGUUCAUUUUAUGUGCGCAACUAGGACAUUGAUGUAUUUAGUCAAACAUAUAAUUCUCUCUUAGAGUCACUACCUGUCUUUUAUAUUCCCAGACAUCAGUGGAUUUUGAAGGAACCACAAAUUUGUUUUAUGGCUGGAGCAGGAGGCACAAGGAGUCCUGUUACAGAGCAGGUGCGGUGGCAGCAGCCAGGAAGCCAUUGCUCGGUUGAAGUCCACCAGCACUCCCCUCCGAACUGUCAGCUACUAACUGCUUCUGCCCUUCUCAGAUACGUAGUCUAAGAAACUGAUGUUGCACUGCAGCUGGAAGCUGACCUGAGACUGAAGUGACACAUCCUUUGCUGUGGAAUAUUUGUCUCCAGCUGUUCCUUCGUGGGAUGGGUUACAGAGACUGCACCUGUGCACGCCGGGGUAGCAGCAGCCCGGGAGGAAUCCCUGCCAUAACAUUUCUCUGUGAAACACAUACUUUCUCCCUGAGGAAAUGGGCUUAUGUCAACAGAAAUGGAAACUUCAAAAAAAGUAGAUAUGUAGCGCUGGGAAAAGCUAAGCAUCUUUGCUCUUAGAUGUGUGGGGUGAUUAAUUUCAUGUGCCAUAUCCCUCACACACACAUUCUUCUUCUUUGCCAAAAGCUGAAUGUAAUUGGAAGCCUAUGAAUGUCCAUGGUUGCCAGACAGCUUAAAAUUGAGAUGCUGUGAAAUGCAAACAAAUGGAAAUGUUUCUCUUUUGUGUAAAUCUGCAAGAAUUAUUAGGCAUUAAAUACCAAUUGCAAGGAGACUCGUUUAGGAUGGUCAAAGAUGAGCCUGAGCUGGUUCUUGUGUACACUCCUGGAGCAGGAGUCCAGUUAGAGUGGCUUGGACAAGUGGGUUCUGCUCCACACACAGAUUUUGCACCCCCUUGUUAGUUAGUGCUGUGGCAGCUUCCUAAAAUAGCGGUAGAUAGAUAUAAUCCUUCACAUAGAUGCCCUCACAACAGAGCGAGAGUAAUUUGUAUUCAUAUAACUGGUUUUCUUUUCCAGAAGUAAAGCAUACUGAUCCAAAAUAACAUUUCUGUUGAUGUAGUUGUGUCCACACCGGGAAAGGAGUGGUUUAGCUUGGUGGGCAGAGCCUGAGCAGCUUGUAGAUACCAAGGAGCUCCAAGAUGAGAGGGAACAUGAUACUGCUUGGCUACCUUGGGGCAAAGCGCAAAGGAGCUUGAGAGGCUCAGGCCCUGUGGGGUCUGUUGUCAUUUUUGCUGAAAGUCUGCCAGAGGCUUGACAAGCACUGAUUCACUGACAUUCCUUGUGUGCUAAAAGGCUUCUUGAGGUGGCUUCAAGCACAUGCAGCUGUUUGCUGCGUACAGCUCAGCAUCAGAUUCAGAUGGGAUCUUUUGAUGGUCCAGAAGUUCUGCUCAAGGGGUUGGCUGUCAAGCCACGGUGUUUGUUAUGCUCAGUAACAAAGUAAAAACAGAUCUUGGUAGGCCAGUUCACAUAAAACUUACCCUUACCGUCACAAUUCAUAAGCCUAAUUCCUAAACUGCAGGUGCAAGCUGCACUGUGGGCACCCAUUUUUCUCCCAACAGAGGAGGAUUUGCAGUGGGAGAACUUAACUGGAGGAAAUGAAUCCUGGUAUUGGUUACCGAUACCUGGAAGCUUAUUUGCACAUUUCUGGCCUGGCUUUGAGCACACUUUGUGCUUGGAGUUGGAAAUCAGGGGCGUGAGAUGCUGGAAGAAUGAGACUGCCCUGUGCCUCUGUCCUGCGGGCACAGUGAGGAUGCCUGGGGCAGGGGGAUAUGACAGCAGCAUCAUGAAUACUGCUGUGCAGGGAAGAUAAAUCAGCCAGUCUCUCUGUCUCCAUCCCUGGCAGGAUUUUUUUUAGUAAGCCAGCUGGCUGAGCUGCUCAUGGACUAAAAUUAAGCAGCCCUUUGGGGUUCAGAGGUGGCUGCAGGCUUCGCUUAUGCAGAGAGGUACCUACAUGUAUAAGUAGCCCAUCAGUUCCCAUCCAAGCCUCAGCACCAGAUAAACAGCAUUUUGAUAAACAGCAUUGUCAGUGAGGGAGUAAGUGAUCUGUGAUGAACCUGACAUAGGCUGUGCCUAUAAUUGUCCUGUGAAUCUGCUUCUCUCCAGUGCUUAUUUAAAGCCACCCUGGAGUCAGAGAAGGAGGUGUGCGAUUUUGCUGCCUCUUAGGUACUCUCUCAUGUCCUCCUGUCCAUGCUGCCCUUUAGAGAAGCACCCUAAAUCAAUAAAUCAAUAAAUCCACAGCUAUUUGAACUGUGAGAUUAACGGGGAGGUUGCAUCUCGUUCACCCUUUGGGGUCACGCUGUGUUCGCUUGGGGACAGCCACCCUGAAGCUUGUGCAAGAGGCUUUGCGUUCAACCAUGACAGGCUUCAGCACUGUUUCUUCUUCUAAACGGUCCAAAUCCAUUUUCCAAUGGUGAAAGAAAGCCCGCAGUUGUUAUCUAUUUUGGACAUGUGCAUGUUAUGCUAUACACCCCUAAUCAUUUAUGCAAACAUUAUUUUUACAGAGGUUACUUACUGUGGAUGUUGGGAAAGCCAGGACACUGAAAAGAAGGUCUCUGCUGGAAAUUACGCACUUAGCACAUCGCAGUUUCUUAAUUAGUCUCAACACAUCAGCCAGGAAGGACACCCCAUAGAAGGCAGCCUGCAAAACCUAAAGUAAUUACACCUAAUGAGGGAAACUCAUCCAGCUUUCAUUAACACGUUCCUCAAUGAACUCUGUUCUUGCUCUUCAGGGAGCCGUUUUGUUCGUGAGCUGCAAGCCCACGUGAGGGAAAUAGCUGUUGGCUAAAUCUUUUUUACUGUGACUGAAUAAAUAAAGUUGUUCAGCAGAUAA